This 2634-nucleotide long non-coding RNA is filed under the name Canis lupus familiaris (dog). RNAcentral describes it as "lncRNA (ENSCAFG00000050313.1)". The record is from RNAcentral. Lineage: Eukaryota; Metazoa; Chordata; Mammalia; Carnivora; Canidae.
UUUUUUUUAUUUUCUUUUUUUUAAAUAGUCACCUGAAUGAGUGUGAUGCGGUAUUCACGGUGGUUUUGAUUUGCAUUCCACUCUCUUAAUAAUUUAGUCACUACAGAAAGAUAGGGACGGCUUGUCGGUUGAAAUUUCAGUAGCUCACCCUGGUCAACCAAACGGGGGGUGUAUGUGUGAAGCCUAUUUUCCUGACAAAUCUCGGAGCUGCUCUGCAGGAUUCCACCUUGUAGCUGUCACAACCACAUAGCGCACCAGGACUGAUUGCAAUUGUAGAAAGGCAAACAUCUGAAUCAAGACAGACACUUUGCACUCCCAGCGGGCCGGAUGAAGGGUUUCUUUUUUUAAUACGGCAGCAUCAGAGACCUGCUGCUUAGUGCAAACCAGGCAAAUUACCCAUCAAGCCUGUGGAGAUGGUUGAAAUAGAUUCUUUCACGGCUGAAAAGCUAGACAAAAGGUGACCAUUGCAGGGCUUUCUGCUUUUGCAGGAAAAGCUGAUUGCUCUGACCGGACCGUGAGGCCAGUAAAUUAUACCUGUGAUAAUUGGAAAGACCUGUCUGCAGAACCGUCAAUCAGAAGAGUUGCUUCUCUGAUGAUCGGCCGGUGGCAGCAGGCCCCUUUAUACUGCUGCAUAAAAAGGCUACAGGACCACCAUGCAUUCCUCUUUUGAACGAGAUGUAUCAGAGCAUGUCUCCUUGGUGACACUUAGGAGGAUGGUGCCUCUGAUGCAGGGACCGGUGCUGUCAGCACUCAGGAAAGAAGGGGUGUGACCAGUGUUCUUAAGUACACCUCGGUAAAGGAUGCUGAGAUGUCAUAGUCAUCUUUUCUGAGUGCCUCCGAAGCAGGCAACUGUAUCUGAGGUGGUGGAGAUGGUGGUAGUAAGAGCUCCACAAAUCUGGCUUCUGCCUCUAGUUGUCAGACUCUGGUGAGACCCUUCCGGUCAACAUCAGGGAAGUUGCUGGUGAUCCUGGUCUAGGGAUCUGACUUACUUCUUUAGUAGGUCAAAUAAUUAUAGGAACUUCUGGCUAAUUGUCAGCAGCCUACAGAAAGGUACAAGUGAACUUUAGAGUGAUGGCGAUGUUGCUGUUCUAGAUGGGGCUCUUUGAUUUUCUAAGGAAGGGAAUUUCUGAGAGAAAGAAUCUGAUUAGUUCACUUAAUCACUAUCAUCUCUGGGCAGAGCUAUUUGUCCCUCCCCUUCCCCAAACCUCUUUCUAGAUGUCUGACCAUGGAUUGGCUGACCGUGUGUCAGCUCACUGACUGGGUUCCCAGGGGCUGUGGCUAGGGGGCUGGCUCACAUGAUACACAACGCGACUGCUCCUAUUCAAAUACUAGAGGGCAGUGGGCAAGAGGGUUUCUGGAGUAUCACACCUGUCUCGAUGAGUCUAAUCCACUCACGAAAACCAGACACUAGGACUUCACAUUUGUCUUCCCUGCUUAAAACGUAGAAUGAUUUCUGCAGAUUAUGAGAAUACGUCAUAAAAAGAAUUUAGCUCAGGUCUUGCUUGCACAAUUAUUCCAAUUAUUAUCCACCAUUUGUUUAGUUUUUCAAACAACACCACCCUCCUGAAGAAAGAACAAGAAUGAAAAUAAUAUCUAUAUAGCUCUCUUGACAGGAAAAACAAAUUUCUGAGAGGGUUUCCUUAAUGAGUUACCUAAGUUGAGUAGUUGAGAUGUCUCCUAGAGGGAGUCCAGAUGGAAUCAAUCCUUUUACUAUCCAGUGGUUUGAUCUAAUUGUCGCUGGGUUAAAAAAAAAAAAAAAAAAAGAACUGUUCUUUCAGAAUCCUGGUCUUGGAAGAACCACCAGGUUUCUGAGUAUCACUUGAGUCUUUCUUCUGAGAGAGUCAGUGUGGUUGCUCCUCUCACCCUCCUGUUCCCAUCUUCAAGGAGCUCCAGGAAUGGUGCCCUCCUGUCAGUUUCUGGGGCUCACAGCCUAGAACCAACUCUAGCCCCUCCCUACUUAAAUGUCUUUCCCUCACAGGAAGUCAUCACUUUGUGUCCUUCUGGCCCAUCCCUUGUCCCUUCCAACAUAGUCCUGCAGCUUUGGCAACAAUGUCUGGGGCUCUGCCAUUGGCCUAACUACUCCCUCAGAUUCCCACACAAAGCCUGGAGAACAAUCUGACACAAAUCUCAUGAGGAUCACCCGACUCCUCUGUUUGCAAACCUGCAGGAGAGCCUCUGUUGAAUUCAAAUCUUACAUCACACACUUCCUGAAUUAAGUUCCUAUUCAUGUGGUUUGUGGAUGAUCACCCCUCCCACCCCGCUAGGACAGCCCCACGUCUGACCACUCUGCAGUCCACUCUGCUCCCUUCUCAGCCUUUCUACAGGCCAUUGCCUCCUCUGGAAUGCUCGCUAUUGUCAUCACUCUCUGGGCCCCCUUUGAUUCCAAUUCCAGCAGCAAUCCCCAGAAUUAUACCCCAGGUCUGCAUGUACUACAGCCUUCCGUGACCUGCUGUCCUCUGGCUCAGCCUGGGUCUCCUUGUCUGUGGUAAUUCCUGCCCAGCUGGCUUCCUGAGCUCCUCUCCCACAUGCAACCAGGAAUCUACCAAGAUAUGUUCUCGGCUUACAGAAAGAGGAAAUUGAAUUCUCUUUUCACCAGGGUAGGUUUAACAUUGUACCAGGUAUUGUUCAUAUGCC